GCGUGGGUGAAGAAGGCCCUAGGGUUGUAAAUCCCUUUCAGCGGGGAAGAUGAUGACGGUACCCGCAGAAGAAGCCCCGGCUAACUCCGUGCCAGCAGCCGCGGUAAUACGGAGGGGGCUAGCGUUGCUCGGAAUUACUGGGCGUAAAGGGCGCGUAGGCGGAUCAUAUAGUCAGGCGUGAAAGCCCCGGGCUCAACCUGGGAACGGCGCUUGAUACUGAUGGUCUCGAGUCCGGGAGAGGGUAGUGGAAUUCCCAGUGUAGAGGUGAAAUUCGU
Molecule: ribosomal RNA, 275 nt
Filed under: uncultured bacterium
Lineage: Bacteria
Description: partial 16S ribosomal RNA
Rfam family: Bacterial small subunit ribosomal RNA
Source: RNAcentral